GGAGGCAUAGCUCAGCUGGUCAGAGCGUACGGUUCACAUCCGUGAGGUCCUGGGUUCGAUCCCCCGUGUCUCCACCA
Molecule: transfer RNA, 77 nt
Filed under: Oscillospiraceae bacterium
Lineage: Bacteria; Bacillati; Bacillota; Clostridia; Eubacteriales; Oscillospiraceae
Description: tRNA-Val
Rfam family: tRNA
About the family: Transfer RNA (tRNA) molecules are approximately 80 nucleotides in length. Their secondary structure includes four short double-helical elements and three loops (D, anti-codon, and T loops). Further hydrogen bonds mediate the characteristic L-shaped molecular structure. tRNAs have two regions of fundamental functional importance: the anti-codon, which is responsible for specific mRNA codon recognition, and the 3' end, to which the tRNAs corresponding amino acid is attached (by aminoacyl-tRNA synthetases). tRNAs cope with the degeneracy of the genetic code in two manners: having more than one tRNA (with a specific anti-codon) for a particular amino acid; and 'wobble' base-pairing, i.e. permitting non-standard base-pairing at the 3rd anti-codon position.
Source: RNAcentral